GGACUACCGGGGUAUCUAAUCCCAUUUGCUCCCCUAGCUUUCGUUCCUCAGCGUCAGUUACAGCCCAGCAAGCCGCUUACGCCACCGGUGUUCUUCCCAAUAUCUACGCAUUUCACCGCUACACUGGGAAUUCCGCUUGCCUCUACUGCACUCCAGUCCACCAGUAUCCAGUGCUGUACACGGGUUGAGCCCGCGCCUUUUACACCAGACUUAAUGAACCACCUACGAACUCUUUACGCCCAAUAAAUCCGGACAACGCUCGCAUCCUACGUCUUACCGCGGCUGCUGGCAC
Molecule: ribosomal RNA, 292 nt
Filed under: uncultured bacterium
Lineage: Bacteria
Description: partial 16S ribosomal RNA
Source: RNAcentral